This is a long non-coding RNA of Triticum aestivum (bread wheat), 4962 nucleotides long. RefSeq lists it as uncharacterized. Lineage: Eukaryota; Viridiplantae; Streptophyta; Magnoliopsida; Poales; Poaceae. The transcript has 2 exons. The record is from RefSeq and is a predicted model, not a curated record.
UCUCCCUCCUCCACGAAUUUCUGAAUUUCUAGGGUUAGGGUUCUUGGUUUUUGGGAUUGAGGUAGAACAAGACAAAUAAAGGAAAACAAACAGAAGAGAGGAAUAGGUGAUGUAGGUUGAUGUUGGAGAUUCAGAUUGGCGCUCAGAGGUGGGAUCAAUUCAAUGAGGAGGUGUAUCAUGGUGUAGGAGGAGAAGAAGGCCAUGUGGAUGGUGGACAGAAAGAGGAGGACCUCAAGGCUGCGGAGGAGGAAUAACAGUAGAGUAUCUUGUUAGAUCCAGCCAAAGGCGAUGACCUUGUUUCUACUCUGUUAUAGAUAAACUGCUCUUUUCUUUUCUUCCUGGGAGCUCCACCGUUUUGAAUGAACUGGACUGUCACCUAGUAAUGAGAAAAAACCAUGUUUGGCCAUUUUUAACUUAGAAUGGAGUUGGGAUGCUGCUACUGUGUCUGUAUUACAAUGAUCAUCCCAUCAUUGUGCAUAUGCUCUGUUGCACAAGGCACAUAAGGAACUCAAAAAGGCUAAAGUAGAACAAAAUGUGAAAAAACAAGCCUCGCAGCCAAGAAUCAUGCAUGCCCCCAAAAGAAGCACAAAGCAUUCAUGCCCCAGUAACUGUCAUCUUAAUGCACAAUGUCACCGGCUUGCUGAUGGGGAAUGUAAUGUUUUGUUAGUUUUUGAGUUAGUCGAGGGCCGAUCAUACUCUCAACAGAUCGAAAUUUAAACCUUUCGAUCAGCUAAUCUUACUAAAGAACACAAAUGUGUCUUUUUAUAAACUUGAAUUGUCCUGGUAAAAGUACGGAUUUUCACUUUCACCUGCAGCUGUCUCUAUGUGGAAGGCUUCUGAUGUUUCUGUAGGCGCAGGCCUGAACAAUAGUGAGACAUUGUAGGCGGACCUGAAUAAUAGUGAGACAUGGUAGUAACUAGCAAAAAGUGCAAGAUGCACGGUCAGCUUUUUCUUUUUCGAAUUUAGUGUACAUUUGUUGCUCUUUGCCACCUGUUUGAAAGCACUGCAUACACCUGCAGUACACUAAACUUUCUCAGGUUUGGUUCUCAUAUUUUCACACUAUGCUUAAGGCAAACGAUGGAUGGCUGAACACCUAUUUAUUUGUAGUUUUUAUCUGUUGAUACACGCCGAAAUGAACAGAACGAUAUAGCUAGGCGUGCUCCUAUUUUACGUUGAUGUAAAGAAGCGAUGCAAUCUACGUCGCCGGCAAGUUUGGAAAAAUGUAUUAUUUGUACAUGCUCCUAUUUUAUGUUGGCCCCAGAUCUCUUAACUCGUCUCUUAAAUUUCAUACAUCGGCUGGCGAAUGUGGGCUGAUUCUGAACAGUAUGCUAAUUUCCAAAUGUGGUUUGAUAGAGUACGCAGAUCUCUCGAUUACUAGCAACAAUCUCUCUCAGGUAUAUGUUUAGAGGGGCGAUUACAAGCAGCGGUACAAGAAUUGGUAGCUAGGGUUCGUCGCGAGACAGAAAGGGGGAAGGGGAAAGGAGCCGAGCCGCCGUUCGCCUGAUCCACUGGAUGCCUCAGGCUGAUCUCGAUCCCUCCUCAAGUAGGCGCGUGGACGGGCUUCAGUUAACCCACGCCGGCCCGAUGACGCGUGGAUUGGGCUUCAUGGGCCGGGCCGCUCGUGGAGCCGUGGUGACGUGGUCAUCGGUGCUGACUUGCGGGCCUGCCUUGUCAGGGCCGUUGACAUCCCCCUCUCCUUGAGUCGAGGCUUGUCCCCAAGCCUCAGCGAGCGGGAAGCGCUCCCUGAGACUCGCCUUGUCUUCCCAAGUUUCUCCGAGCACAUCCGAAUUGGACCAGCGGACGAGAAUUUGCUCUCGCAUCUUGCCCUUCUCUUGCCUCCAUCUUGACUGAAGGACUGCCACAGGGACCGCGAGCUCGUCAGAACAAUGAGGAAGAUGAGGUUCAACAGCCAUACCCGUGUUCAGGACGCGUCGAAGCAGCGAGACGUGGAAGACUGGAUGGAUUGUUGCUUGCGGAGGAAGUUGGAGCUUGUAUGCGACUUUCGUUGAUCUUGUCUAUGAUCGGAAACGGGCCAUAGUACUUGUAUGCCAACUUGUGGUUUGCUCUUGGCGCGACUGAAGUUUGGAUGUAUGGCUGCAGUUUCAGGUGUUGCUGCAACAGCUCCUGAACUGUAUCUCUCUCCUCGAUCCAUGAUUUGAGAGCUGAAACUGAACAAGUGUUUCCUGCUGUGAUCCCCCAGUGCCGUGGUUCGUAUCCAAACAUUGCUUUGAAGGGUGUCAUGCCUAUAGCCGAGUGGUGAGAGUUGUUGUACCAGAAUUGAGCCAACGAAAUCCAGAAACUCCACCGUCUUGGGCACGCUUGAGUGAAGCAUCUCAGAAAGGUUUCCACACACUAGUUAACUCGUUCCGUCUGACCGUCCGUUUGGGGGUGGUUGGCUGUGCUGAGUCUGAGUUGAGUGCUCGCGGCCUUGAAUAGCUCCUGCCAGAAAUGGCUUGUGAACACAGGGUCAUGAUCUGACACGAUCGCUCCCGAAAGCCCAUGCACUUUGUAGACUUGUUGGAUGAAAAGUUGGGCCACUGAAGCUGCCAUGUAUGGAUGCGCCAGGGGCAAGAAGUAGCUGAACUUGGUUCUCUUAUCGACUAUCACCAGCAGACAGUUGAACCGGCUCGAUUGUGGAAGGCCAUCCACGAAAUCCAUGGUGAUCAUGUCCCAUGGUUUGGUAGGGAUUGGCAAGGGCAAUAAGAGUCCUGGUGAAGCCGCUCUAUCCGGCUUAGGUUGCUGACACACCGAGCAGCACUGUACAUGGUGUUUGAUUUGAAUCUUCAUCUUGGGCCAAGCAAAAAGGCGUCGUAUGCGUCUGUAAGUGACUGGGAAUCCCGAAUGACCACCUAUCGGGCUGUCAUGGAAGGCUUGAAUGAUACGUUGUUGUAUAUGUGUUCCUCCCCCGAGCCAUAUCCUCCCCCUGAAUCUGAUGAUGCCUUGCUGCAGUGUGAAUCGUCCUUUGGUAUCGUUACGCACUGCUAGUUGUUCCAGAAGUUUCUGCGCGUGAGGAUUGCUGUUGUAGCUGUUGAUGAUGUCUUUCAGCCAACUGGGUUGACGCGAUGUGACCAUGUGAAGUGUCUUUGCUUGGUUAGCUCGCGAUAGAGCAUCCGCGCUGUUGUUCUCAGUCCCCUUCUUGUACUUGAUGCGGUACCUGAGCCCCAACAGUGUGGUGAAAUCUUUUUGCUGCUACGGGGUGUUCAGUCGCUGCUCUUCUAGAUGAGUGAGGCUCUUUUGAUCCGUGUAGAUGACAAAUUCUGUGUGCUGCAAAUACGGGUGCCAUUGAUCCACGGAAACUAUGAUUGCCAGGUACUCUUUCUCGUAGGUCGACAGCCCUUGGUAUCGUGGACUAAGGGCUUUGCUAAUGAAGGCUAUGGGGUGCCCCUGUUGCUGCAGAAUUGCCCCUAUGCCACGGUCGCACGCAUCGGUCUCAACUGUGAAUGGUUGAGCAAAAUUCGGCAAGGCCAGCAUCGGCGCUGUGAUGAGCUGCUGCUUCAGGACUUGAAAGGCAGUUUCUGUGAUCGAUGUCCAGAGAAAUGGGACGCCCUUCUUCAGUAAGUUAAAGAGUGGCCGGGCAAUCACUCCAAAGUUGCGCACGAAACGACGGUAGUAUCCUGCGAGUCCCAAAAAACUCCGGACUCCCUUGACAUCUUGUGGAGGGGACCAGUUGGCCACUUUUGCUAUCUUGGUCGAGUUUGUUGCAAUACCUUGCGCGCUGAUGACGUGGCCCAUGUAAGAUAUCCUGCUUUGUCCAAAAGCACACUUGCUGAGCUUCACUUUCCAGUGGUCUUUGCGAAGCAGUUCCAACACUUGUCUCACAUGGCACUUGUGUUCUUCCAAUGUGGCACUAAAAAUCAAGAUGUCGUCGAAGAAACAGAGGACACAAAUGUGAAUCACUGGCUUGAGAGUUGUAGUCAGUCCUUCAAUGAAUGUGGGAGGGCCCCCAGCUAGUCCAAAGGAUAACACUUUGAACUCAAAAUGGCCCUGGUGUGUUGAGAAUGCUGUCUUGUGCUCUUCCCCGGGAGCGAGCCUGAUCUGGUGAUAGCCCGCGCGCAAAUCCAACUUUGAGAACCAUGCUGCUCCAUGCAGUUCAUUGAGGAGUUCUUCGAUGACUGGGACUGGGAACUUGCCGACGACUGUGAUGGCAUUUAACUGCCUGUAAUCAAUACAGAGGCGCCAGGUCCCGUCUUUUUUCUUCACUAGGAUGACUGGGGAUGAAAAUGGGCUGUUGCUACGCUGAAUGACUCCUGAUUUCAACAGUGGCUCGACCUGAGCUUCUAUCUCUGUUUUCUGCUCUGGUUUGUAUCGAUACUGCCUGACGUUGACUGGUCACGCUCCUGGGAUCAGAGGAAUGCGAUGAUCGCACGCCCUCCUAGGUGGGAGCCCCGUUGGCUCUUCUAACACGUCUCGGAAUUGGUCCAAAACUUCUUGAAUGCAAGCUGGUGUUUGUUCCAAGUUCUCAGGCUGAGUUGCUACCACACAGAGGUGUAUGACAUGUGUGAUAGAUCCUUUGCUGCACAAGUUUUGCAGUUGCAGACUGUUGAUGGUCUGGCAACUUGUCGAGGCUGCGUCGUGUCCCACGAGACGUAGCGGACCCGCUGGAGUAGGUAUCUCAAUGAAACGUGCGCGCCAGUCGACCCCAUCGGGCUGUGUUCCUCUAGCCAAUCCAUGCCUAGGAUGAGAUCGCACGUGCCCAGGGCCAGCACCUUCAAGUCCGUAUAGAACUCGUGCCCUUGAGCGUACCAGGCGCACUGUGUGGCUACCUCUGAACAGAGCAGCUCACCUCCAUCUGCCACUCGCACACCGCUGGGUUUGGAGAGAGGUUGAACUCCUGAAAGUUGCUUUGCGAGCUGCUGGUUGAUGAACGAAUUGGAGCUGCCUGAAUCCACUAACAUGAGUACUUCGUGCCCUUGAAGCCAAGCUCUGAGCUGAAAAGCUUUGGUCGAAACCCCUCCUGUAACA